GACGAACGCUGGCGGCGUGCUUAACACAUGCAAGUCGAACGGAAAGGCCCUGCUUUUGUGGGGUGCUCGAGUGGCGAACGGGUGAGUAACACGUGAGUAACCUGCCCUUGACUUUGGGAUAACUUCAGGAAACUGGGGCUAAUACCGGAUAGGAGCUCCUGCUGCAUGGUGGGGGUUGGAAAGUUUCGGCGGUUGGGGAUGGACUCGCGGCUUAUCAGCUUGUUGGUGGGGUAGUGGCUUACCAAGGCUUUGACGGGUAGCCGGCCUGAGAGGGUGACCGGCCCCAUUGGGACUGAGAUACGGCCCAGACUCCUACGGGGGGCAGCAGUGGGGAAUAUUGCACAAUGGGCGGAAGCCUGAUGCAGCAACGCCGCGUGCGGGAUGACGGCCUUCGGGUUGUAAACCGCUUUCGCCUGUGACGAAGCGUGAGUGACGGUAAUGGGGAAAGAAGCACCGGCUAACUACGU
RNAcentral lists this ribosomal RNA (467 nucleotides) under uncultured bacterium. RNAcentral describes it as "partial 16S ribosomal RNA". It matches the Rfam family "Bacterial small subunit ribosomal RNA", at positions 28 to 506 of the family's 1533-position model. The record is from RNAcentral.